GACGAACGCUGGCGGCGUGCUUAACACAUGCAAGUCGAACGGAAAGGCCCUGCUUGCAGGGUACUCGAGUGGCGAACGGGUGAGUAACACGUGGGUGAUCUGCCCUGCACUUCGGGAUAAGCCUGGGAAACUGGGUCUAAUACCGGAUAGGAGCCAUUUUUAGUGGGAUGGUUGGAAAGUUUUUUCGGUGUAGGAUGAGCUCGCGGCCUAUCAGCUUGUUGGUGGGGUAAUGGCCUACCAAGGCGGCGACGGGUAGCCGGCCUGAGAGGGUGGACGGCCACAUUGGGACUGAGAUACGGCCCAGACUCCUACGGGAGGCAGCAGUGGGGAAUAUUGCACAAUGGGCGCAAGCCUGAUGCAGCGACGCCGCGUGGGGGAUGACGGCCUUCGGGUUGUAAACUCCUUUCGCUAGGGACGAAGCUUUUUGUGACGGUACCUAGAGAAGAAGCACCGGCUAACUACGUG
Molecule: ribosomal RNA, 465 nt
Filed under: uncultured bacterium
Lineage: Bacteria
Description: partial 16S ribosomal RNA
Rfam family: Bacterial small subunit ribosomal RNA
Source: RNAcentral